Molecule: transfer RNA, 74 nt
Filed under: Oligoflexaceae bacterium
Lineage: Bacteria; Pseudomonadati; Bdellovibrionota; Oligoflexia; Oligoflexales; Oligoflexaceae
Description: tRNA-Arg
Rfam family: tRNA
About the family: Transfer RNA (tRNA) molecules are approximately 80 nucleotides in length. Their secondary structure includes four short double-helical elements and three loops (D, anti-codon, and T loops).
Source: RNAcentral
GGUCCCUUAGCUCAGCUGGAUAGAGCACCGGAUUUCUAAUCCGGCGGUCGCACGUUCGAAUCGUGCAGGGAUCG